GGCGUUAUAGCUCAGUCGUAGAGCAGGGGAUUGCAGAUCCCAAGGUCGCGUGUUCAAUCCACGCUAGCGCCU
Non-coding RNA from Flagelloscypha sp. PMI_526, 72 nucleotides. The record is from the annotation of a GenBank genome assembly. NCBI's taxonomy places the organism in Eukaryota, Fungi, Basidiomycota, Agaricomycetes, Agaricales, Niaceae.